GACGAACGCUGGCGGCGUGCUUAACACAUGCAAGUCGAACGGAAAGGCUCCAGCUUGCUGGAGUACUCGAGUGGCGAACGGGUGAGUAACACGUGGGUAAUCUGCCCUGCACUCUGGGAUAAGCCUGGGAAACUGGGGCUAAUACUGGAUAUGACCUUUCUCCUUAUGGGGUUUGGUGGAAAGUUUUUCGGUGUAGGAUGAGCCCGCGGCCUAUCAGCUUGUUGGUGGGGUGAUGGCCUACCAAGGCGACGACGGGUAGCCGGCCUGAGAGGGUGAUCGGCCACAUUGGGACUGAGAUACGGCCCAGACUCCUACGGGAGGCAGCAGUGGGGAAUAUUGCACAAUGGGCGGAAGCCUGAUGCAGCGACGCCGCGUGAGGGAUGACGGCCUUCGGGUUGUAAACCUCUUUCAGCAGGGACGAAGCGUAAGUGACGGUACCUGCAGAAGAAGCACCGGCUAACUAUGUG
Molecule: ribosomal RNA, 467 nt
Filed under: uncultured bacterium
Lineage: Bacteria
Description: partial 16S ribosomal RNA
Rfam family: Bacterial small subunit ribosomal RNA
Source: RNAcentral